UAAGCAGAUAGCUUAAAGAUAAAGCAUGACACUGAAGAUGUUAGUAUAGAUAUUUCUUCUGCUUAG
Molecule: transfer RNA, 66 nt
Filed under: Dermatobranchus otome
Lineage: Eukaryota; Metazoa; Mollusca; Gastropoda; Nudibranchia; Arminidae
Description: tRNA-Phe
Rfam family: tRNA
About the family: Transfer RNA (tRNA) molecules are approximately 80 nucleotides in length. Their secondary structure includes four short double-helical elements and three loops (D, anti-codon, and T loops).
Source: RNAcentral